Molecule: non-coding RNA, 82 nt
Organism: Echinostoma caproni
Lineage: Eukaryota; Metazoa; Platyhelminthes; Trematoda; Plagiorchiida; Echinostomatidae
Source: Rfam
GGCCUCGUAGCUCAGCUGGUAGAGCAUGCGCGUACAAAGCGUAGACGGCAUCCAAGCGUGCGUUCGAAUCCCAUCGGGGCUA